GUUUUCAUUAUCAUACUAGGCAGGUCUCUCAUUUUAUAAAUAUGCCAGUGUUUACUUCAGAAAUGUAAUCAGGUUAAAAAUUCUUGCUGUGCUGUCCAACUAGAGAUCAGUCUCUAGAUCUCACUUAAAGUUGGAAGGAGAGCACCAGCUCCCAAAAGAUUGUCCCAUGGGGCCUAGAGAGAUAGCUCAGCAAUAAAGAACACUGUCUCAGUCUUCCAGAGGUUCUGAGUUCAAUUCCCAGCAACCACAUGGUGGCACACAACCAUCUGUAAUAGGAUCUGAUACCCUCUUCUGGUCUGUCUGAAGACAGCUAUUAUUUGUAUAUACAUGCUGAAGUAUUGCUUAUGAUAGGCUAUCUGUGAUUUGCUUUGGAAUGAAAAUCAGUUGUAGGAUUUGUAAAACUGGCUAAUGACUAUAUGAACUAGAAUUAUUUCAGUUUUGUGCCUAUUUAAAAAUCUUCCUUAUAAAACAUUUUAAAUUUAGAGUAAAAGUUGACCAUAGUGGGACCUGGUCAAGCAGACUACAAUAGCAGAAUCAGCGGGUAUACCUGUAAUCUGAAUACUUGUUGGUGUAGGUAAGACAGACUCGUUUAGAGUUGGAAGCCAGCCUGGGCUUCAGAAUAGGGUCCAAUCUCAAAAUAAAAACAAAACUCCAAACAGAACCAGAUGGUUUGGUUUCUCCCUGUUGUUUACUGUAUGUACUAUGAGCCAAGUUCAUCUCCUGACCAUCACAUAUUUCCAGUCAACAACGAAAUGGAGUGGCUCAAUAAAAAUAUAGUGGCCUAUAUAGAGUAGGGAUUUUUUGUUUGUUUGUUUUUCUGGUUUUGUUUUGAGACAGGGUGUAGCCUUGGUUGCCCUGGAACUUCCUUUAUAGACCAGACUGAGAUAUAUCACAAUUUUUAAAAUUUUAAAGAAGUCUACAAAGUUUGGAAAGCCUUCUUGACUGGAAGAUUGAGGAGGUAAAUUUGUUAAUUAUUAAUAUGUUCAGUAUAUAGUAGAUCUUUGAGUUGGCUGAAUUUUUGGUGAAGCAUCUCAUAAAUACCAGAUUUAUGCCAAAUACUGAAGCUUUACCAAAGAAAUCUGACCUGGUAUUUAAAUAAGCCUGUUUACUACUCAGGCCUUAGCAUCACUAGUGACAUGGAACAAAACUGUCCAUUCCUCAACUUCACUUGAAACGGUUGCCUUAGAAGAAGGAGUUCCUUGUUUGUUUUCAUCUUAGUUCCUAUUCUAUUCCUUUUGUAUUGGAAAGCUGUAUAUCAAAAUUUGUAAUGUGCUAAGUUCUUAGAACCAUGCACUUAGGUGAAUUAUAACAGAUUUAAUUAGAAUGACCACACAGCUAAAUAAUAUGGUAUAUCAAAUCUGUCGAUUUCAAGAUCUUUUCAUUAUACCAUGUCACUCUUCUGAUUUCAGGAACCUUUGACUGUGCUGUUAAAAUCUUCACUUUCUUCCAUUUGUUGUUUAGAUAUAUUUUGAGUUUUUUUUCCUUCAGGCUGCUUUGUCAGAAGAGGAAAUAAAUGGGAAGUUAUUGAGAGUUAUCCCUUAUUAUAGUGAUUGCAAAUUCUUAUUUCCUGGUAAUGGGAGGCAAAGCUUCCAGAUAUCUGUAUACCAUAAGUUGCUUUUGAGCCUCCUUUAUUCCAGACUAGUUGCAGUUCAGAAGAUAUAUAUAUAGAGCAAAAACUUGGGUUUCUGGAUACUUUAGAUCAUAUUUUGAUUUUUUUGUUUGUUUUUGUUUUUGAGGAAAAGUUGUAUGGUCUUUAUCAGGUUAUUAUGGAUAUCAAUGACCACUCCUUAACAGCACCUGUUUUUCAUUAUUCCAUUGAUUAUAUGAAAAGUAUAAGAACUACAGAUAUCCUAGAAUUUGUUUAAGAAAGCAACAUAUACCAGAUUCAGCUAAUUUUUUGGUCUGAAAAGGGUAACAAACUAUUAUGAAGCCCACCUAUGAAGCAGUUCUUGUCUGAGUAAAGACUUGUAUAUAUAGUGUAAACAAAGUUCUCAGUACAUGAAUGGAUGUUCAGUGCAACACUGCAGAGUACCAAAAAUGAGUAUCUGCCUGCUGAAGAAUCAUUUAAAUUAUAAUGAAUCAAUAGAACAGUGCUACAGUAUCAUUGAAGAAGUACAUAUUUAAAUAUGGUCACGUUAAAUAUCAAAACCAGUUUACAAAACCAGUCAGACUAUUCCUUUUCUCUUUUAAGAGGAUACACGAGAAUUUUACUUCUGUUUUUUAUGUUCUUCUAAUGAUAGGUUUUUUGUUUGUUUGUUUGUUUGCAAUAUAUAGUAUCACUGUGUGGCUCUAGUCAGCCUGAAACUUGGUAUGUAGACUAACCUUAAACUUAGAAAAAGUCUUUGUCUCUUCAUGUUGUAGAAUUCCUGCCAUUUGCCCAGCACACCCAGUUAUGAUUGUAUACUUUAUAAGCAUCUUUGUAAUAGAGCCGGACCACUGCAGUGAGGAGGCCUCUUGUACACAUCAGAGUAUUAUGCUUAAGGUUUCUUUGGUGUUACUGUCCUUAGCUGUCAUUUGAGAAAUCUUCUAUCAUAUUUUCCUUUAUUACGGUAAGAAAAAGUUUGUGUUUUCUAAACAACAAGCUACUUACACAAGAAACUCCCCUGGUAAACAAUGCAGUGGAUUGGCUUUUAAGCAGACAGGAGGGUUACUUUCCCUUCAGAAUUUGACUCAGUUAUAGGAAGAAACAUAGUUAAGAGGUAUUUUUGGUUUGGUAUGAUUUUUGUUUUUCUUGUAAGUGGUUGUCAACAUGUAAUUCUUGUCACAUGAGUAAACCUAAAGAGUUAAACAUAUUCAAGGACAGGGUGAGGUGAUGAUUCCACAUCCUAAAUCCAGCAUUUGGGUGGAGGAGGCAGGAUCUUUUAAGUUUGAGGAGUUCUAGGCCAGCCAGAACAAUAUAGUGAGACCAAGUGUCUCAAAAAAAAAAAAAAGAAGAAGAAGGCGGCUUCAGGGCUGAUAAUGUGGCUUAGUUGGUAAAAGUGCUUGCCUACCAUGCAAACAGCUCUAGACUUGAUUCCUAUCACCAUAUAAAACUCUAGGUGUUUUGGUACAUCCCUAUUAUUAGCAUGCAGGAGGUAGAGGCAGGUGAAUUGGAGUUUGAAAUCAGCCUACAGAGUACCUAAGAUGGAAGACACACCUUCAGAUAGCUUUUAUGUUCAUAGUAAUUGUUUGUUGUCAUUGAUAAAGGGAGAAGUGGGAAAUCUGCAUAUAUAAAACUCAAGGUAAAGCUACAUAAUAUAAAUUCCCCCAGAGAGCUGGAAGAUUCUGGACUUGUUAAUAAACACACUUUUAAUUUAGAUAUUGCUACCCAACGUAAUUAGUUUAAUAAAUAAAAGCUACGUGUUAAAAUCUUAAUUUUCUUUUGAAAUCUGCUGUAUUUGUGACUUUCUUGUGAGUAAAUUCCCCCUUUCAUUGUUACUCAUACAACCCAGAGCUUAUUGAAUGCUAGGCAAGCACUCUACCACUCAGCUAUACCUUCAGUUCCCUGAGUUAAUCUUUUUCUAAUUAUGUUUUUGUCUGUAAAAUAAUCAAGGUUUGGCGAUGUCUCAGUGAUUAAAAGUACUUGCCUCACAAGCAUGAGAGCUGGGUUUGAGUAAACCCAUGCAAAACUGUACAGGUCUGUUAUUCCAGCCUGUAAGAGAGUCCAGACAGGAAAGUCACCAGAAUCGCCUGAUAACUUCAGGUAUCAGUCUUCCUCUGACCUGCAUACUUGUGUGUUCACACAGAGGUUUUUAAAAACCAUCUUCUAAGUCCUAAAACUAUUUUUAUGAAGUUGAAUUUAUUUAAGCCAGUACAAUUAUGAGGUAUGCCUCCUAGUACAUGUAAAUAACUAUCUAGGAAAGGUAAAUGUACGCCUUGACCUCUAUCAUAGCCAUUAUAAGUAGGACUUUCUUUUUAAUUGGUCUUAAAAUUGCUUCAUAGUAAGCGAAGCUUUACAGACAUUUUACCAGUUCCAGAAUCCCCUAGAGAGAAUGUAAAUUUUAAGAAACCAAAGGAUAAACAAGAGUUAGAAGAAAAGGAAAUUUUAUCUUGGCUUGAAUUGUUAAGUCACAUAUUUCAGAUUAUGCCAAUCUGUUUCUCUUUCUUUCUUUUUUCUACAACUCCUGGAUCUAUUUCCUGUAUUCACUAUCUUCACAGUUAAGCCCAAUUUACUAUUGUGUAAAUUAGGUGAGCUUCUCACCAGAUCUCUGAAUAUUUAUAAAUACUCCUGUAGUAUUUAUCCUUUCUCUCCCUUUUACUGUUUGGUUUGUUGGUUUUUAUUUUGAGACGGUCUCACUGUGUGCCCACCUUGACCUGGAACUCACAGGGAUUGCCUUUCUAGGACUGAGACUAAAGGCUUUUACCACCACACCCAGCCUAUAUCUUUUGGGUUUUUGUUUGGGUUUUAUUGUGGGGUUUUUUACUUCUUUGUCAUAUUUUUCCCAUUUCCUCUUCCUAUACUUUUUGGGUGUGGAAAGGCGGAAGCUAUUUUUAGCCACAUUCAAGUUAUUAGUGUGGCACUUCUUUCUUUGUAGAUUCUUCUAAUUCUACAAGCUUCAUAAAUAUCCUACUGCAGAUUCUUCUCCAUGUGUUUCUUAGAGCGGGACAGUAUUCUUUCUGUUGUACCUACUUGAGACAUAAAUUGCCAAGCAAGUUGAGGAUUCACAGAAAAUAUGAAGCAGGAAAAAAGAAAAUAACUAUUUUAUAUUGAUACAUUUAGAAGUCAUCU
RNAcentral lists this long non-coding RNA (4708 nucleotides) under Mus musculus (house mouse). RNAcentral's name for it is "long non-coding RNA chr6:113092782-113097490". Lineage: Eukaryota; Metazoa; Chordata; Mammalia; Rodentia; Muridae. The record is from RNAcentral.